RNAcentral lists this ribosomal RNA (505 nucleotides) under uncultured bacterium. Its description in RNAcentral is "partial 16S ribosomal RNA". It matches the Rfam family "Bacterial small subunit ribosomal RNA", at positions 28 to 507 of the family's 1533-position model. The record is from RNAcentral.
GACGAACGCUGGCGGCGUGCCUAAUACAUGCAAGUAGAACGCACAGUUUAUACCGUAGCUUGCUACACCAUAGACUGUGAGUUGCGAACGGGUGAGUAACGCGUAGGUAACCUGCCUGGUAGCGGGGGAUAACUAUUGGAAACGAUAGCUAAUACCGCAUAAUAUUAAUUAUUGCAUGAUAAUUAAUUGAAAGGUGCAAUUGCACCACUACCAGAUGGACCUGCGUUGUAUUAGCUAGUAGGUGAGGUAACGGCUCACCUAGGCGACGAUACAUAGCCGACCUGAGAGGGUGAUCGGCCACACUGGGACUGAGACACGGCCCAGACGCCUACGGGAGGCAGCAGUAGGGAAUCUUCGGCAAUGGACGAAAGUCUGACCGAGCAACGCCGCGUGAGUGAAGAAGGUUUUCGGAUCGUAAAGCUCUGUUGUAAGAGAAGAACGGGUGUGAGAGUGGAAAGUUCACACUGUGACGGUAGCUUACCAGAAAGGGACGGCUAACUACGUG